Suricata suricatta (meerkat) is the source of this 425-nucleotide long non-coding RNA. RefSeq lists it as uncharacterized. The record is from RefSeq and is a predicted model, not a curated record. NCBI's taxonomy places the organism in Eukaryota, Metazoa, Chordata, Mammalia, Carnivora, Herpestidae. The transcript is spliced from 3 exons.
GUUGAAAUGAACUAGUUAGAGCAUAUUCUCUGGUGAGAUCAUGUUUUUCUUGAAACGAAGAAUCUCACUUAUACUGUACAACGUCAGGAUAAAGAUGGAAAACCCCUCCUGCCAAAAGAGCCCAAGGAAUCACUUCCACCCAUGAGUGAAGACUUCCUUCUUGAUGCUUUGUCUAAGGACUUUACUGGUUCCCCAGACUCUUCAUCUCUUGUAAGUCUGAAACUCCUGGUUUUAUUUCCUUACUUUAUGGUGGCAGAAAGAAAUGGAAACUGGUGACUUAGAAUCUGACUUUGGAGCUGAGGAAAUAAUCAUAAAAUUAAAGGCUUUCAACCCAUUGUACCCAUGAAAUAUGUUGCAUCCUGAAAGUGUGUCAGCACAGUAGACAUUUGCAACAAUGUAACUAAUUGAACCAAGGAGUGUACACU